GAGACAUCUUCUUCCUUCGGGCCUGCUCCUGGGAUUGGCGCUGCUUUGAAUUGUCAGUGCCUUCCUUCUCUUUGCUUUGUUCUUUGAGUCGCCUCAAAAGCAUACGGUCGCGCCACAUCCUUCUCUCAAGCUCAUCAACAUCCAGCUCUUCAUCACUAUAAUCUUCCUCCAAAGCAGCCUCAGCUUCAUGCUCCUGAGCUGUCUCUUGUUCCCCAGGAGGAGCCGAAAAAUAUUCAAGAUUCCGGCAAAAGCCAAUAUCUUCAAAGAUUCCCAUGGUGUUCAUCAUUGGAAUAAACACUCCGCAGUUACAAAAGCAAUUAAUUUAUACCCCAGUGUCGUUGGCUUGAAA
This 349-nucleotide unclassified non-coding RNA is filed under the name Hevea brasiliensis (rubber tree). The record is from RNAcentral. Lineage: Eukaryota; Viridiplantae; Streptophyta; Magnoliopsida; Malpighiales; Euphorbiaceae.